ACGAACGUUGGCGGCGUGGUUAAGGCAUGCAAGUCGAGCGAUCUUAUUGAAUUUUGAGGCCGCAAGGCCAAGAGAUUUGAUUUGAUAGCGGCAAAAGGGUGAGGAAUACAUGGGUAAUCUACCUUUGGGUCGGGGAUAACAUUCCGAAAGGAGUGCUAAUACCGGGUAAGACCACAGCUUCGCAUGAAGCUGCGGUAAAAGAUGGGGACCGUAAGGCCUAUCGUCUGAAGAGGAGCCCAUGUCCUAUCAGCUAGUUGGCGGGGUAAUGGCCCACCAAGGCUUUUGACGGGUAGCUGGUCUGAGAGGAUGGUCAGCCACACUGGGACUGAGACACUGCCCAGACUCCUACGGGAGGCUGCAGUCGAGAAUCUUUCGCAAUGGGCGAAAGCCUGACGAUGCGACGCCGCGUGAGGGAUGAAGGUCUUCGGAUUGUAAACCUCUGUCACACAGGAAGAACGUCCUAUGGGUGAAUAACCCUGUGGGCUGACUGUACUGUGAGAGGAAGCCAUGGCUAACUCCGUGCCAGCAGCCGCGGUAAUACGGGGAUGGCUAACGUUGUUCGGAUUUAUUGGGUGUAAAGGGUAUGUAGGCGGGCUUGUAAGUUGGAUGUGAGAUACUUUGGCUUAACCAAAGAACUGCAUUCAAAACUGCUUGUCUUGAGUUUGGGAGAGGAGAGUGGAAUUCUCGGUGUAAGGGUGAAAUCUGUAGAUAUCGAGAGGAACAUCAGUGGCGAA
RNAcentral lists this ribosomal RNA (734 nucleotides) under uncultured Omnitrophica bacterium. RNAcentral describes it as "bacterial SSU rRNA". It matches the Rfam family "Bacterial small subunit ribosomal RNA", at positions 29 to 719 of the family's 1533-position model. The record is from RNAcentral. Lineage: Bacteria; Pseudomonadati; Candidatus Omnitrophota.